AGAGAAUGAAAAGCAAGAGAGAGCAAAACAAGGCAAAGAGAAAAUCAAUGCCUCAUUGCAAGCAGCUCUGGGAAGGACCCCUUACUCCGUAUCUGCUUUUCCAGAAAGCCUGAAGUUUCUCUAACAGAAUAUGAAUCCUGACGCAACAACAAGGAGAGGGAGGGAGAAAGCAGUGGGAAGAUCCUCAGAGUUUCUUUUCUCCAUACCGAUGUGAUCGUCC
RNAcentral lists this long non-coding RNA (220 nucleotides) under Homo sapiens (human). RNAcentral's name for it is "HSALNT0294686". Lineage: Eukaryota; Metazoa; Chordata; Mammalia; Primates; Hominidae. The record is from RNAcentral.